RNAcentral lists this ribosomal RNA (490 nucleotides) under uncultured bacterium. Its description in RNAcentral is "partial 16S ribosomal RNA". It matches the Rfam family "Bacterial small subunit ribosomal RNA", at positions 28 to 523 of the family's 1533-position model. The record is from RNAcentral.
GAUGAACGUUGGCGGCAUGGAUUAGGCAUGCAAGUCGAGCGAGAAGAGUUUUGAAGCUUGCUUUAGAACUCGGACAGCGGCGAAAGGGAGAGUAACGCGUAGUUAUGUGCCCUAGGGUCCGGAAUAGCCACGGGAAACUGUGGGUAAUGCCGGAUAAUAUCCCCGGAUCAAAGGUGUGAUUCCGCCCUAGGAGCAGACUGCGUCCUACUAGCUAGUUGGUGGGGUAAUGGCCCACCAAGGCAAUGAUGGGUAGCGGGUGUGAGAGCAUGACCCGUCUCACUGGGACUGAGGCACUGCCCAGACACCUACGGGUGGCUGCAGUCGAGAAUCUUCGGCAAUGGGCGAAAGCCUGACCGAGCGAUGCCGCGUGCGGGAUGAAGGCCCUCGGGUUGUAAACCGCUGUCGUAGGGGAGGAAGGUUCCGUGAAGAGCGGGACUUGACCUAUCCUAGGAGGAAGUACGGGCUAAGUUCGUGCCAGCAGCCGCAGUAA